UGGUUCUGGCAUCGAUGAAGAACGCAGCGAAAUGCGAUACGUAAUGUGAAUUGCAGAACUCAGUGAAUCAUCGAAUCUUUGAACGCACAUUGCGCCCCCUGGCAUUCCGGGGGGCAUGCCCGUCCGAGCGUCAUGUCACCACUCGAGCCCCGCUCGGUGUUGGGCCGCGCCGACCCCCGUCGGCGGGCCCUAAACGCAGUGGCGGCGCCGUCGGCUCCCGAGCGUAGUAACGUCUGCCGCUCCGGGUGCCGCCGGUCCCGCCAGCAAUCACCCCCACGCAAGGUUGACCUCGGAUCGGGUAGGGAUACCCGCUGA
RNAcentral lists this unclassified non-coding RNA (315 nucleotides) under uncultured fungus. Its description in RNAcentral is "partial contains 5.8S ribosomal RNA and internal transcribed spacer 2". The stretch from base 1 to 133 matches the Rfam family "5.8S ribosomal RNA", at positions 22 to 154 of the family's 154-position model. Lineage: Eukaryota; Fungi. The record is from RNAcentral.